AGUAUUGCUAUUUUUUUUGUCCGUCCUUCAAGGUAAAUUGCCAUAGACUAUAGACAAUAUGUUAGUAAAACUAAGUACACACAGAAGUUUUUGCAUUGGAAAAAAGUCUUGAUGACGGGUGAUAUUUUUUAAUUCUCCGAUUUUGGAGAACUGUGAAGUGCCAAUUACAUCCACACUUUAUCAGACCCGAUUUUGGGCCUAGAAAUAAUAUUUUUCCAUUUCACCAAAUAUCAACACAUCAAUAUCAAACAUUGAACAUUUUUGGCAAUUAGAGACAAAGUAUUUUUUACAUUUCAAAUAUUGUUAACGAUGUGGUGGUAUUCGUUGAAACGGAAAACGAUUAUUAGGCUCGAAAUCAGGAUUGAUUUGAGUUUCAGGCCUGAUAAUCGUCAGGGUUACUCCGGGCCCGAUCAUGUAGCACAUACUUUAAUUUAUUUUUACUGGAAGCCGAUUCCAUGAACAUGGUUAAAAAAAAGUUGUCUUGUCUUUGGUAUGAGCAAUGAACAUUGGUGGAGUAGAAAUUUUAAUAAAAUUAAAGUAAUGAAAUGAAACGAGCACAGACUGAUAACUGAAUUUCGCAAUGAGUAAGAAACGGGGAGGAAGGCAUCUUCUUUCAUUUUGUGUUGUUUAAUUUACUAUAAGUACAGUUUGAUGUCUUUUAUUUAAUGUAUAACACGGCCAAUAUAUGUCCGCGAGAGGUGUAGAAGAGUAAUGUUUGGGUGAUGGAGUCACCGCCUUCGUUUUCAACACAUUCCGAGGUGCCUCCUUUAAGUGAAGACAGUGGUCUACUCAUCACCAGCGGAUCCUUCUCGAGCGAUUCCGCUAGCGGCUGGCAUCACGUUACAUCCGAGUUACAAGAAAGUGAUUUUGAUGAAAAAUCUCUGUCACUAUGCGAGUCGACGGAAACAUCGGAGCGAAUGUGUGGCGAUUUUUUUAACACCGUCAAGAAAGGCCCAGGAAAAGUCUUACUAACGACUAUUGACCCACCUCCUGAAUUUCAGGAUAAUCCAGUGCCCCUCAAUAUUGUGGAAGUUGCAACUUUAUUUGUUCCUCCAACCGUUGUGUAUAAUAAUGACUCUGUAAAGUCAAAAUCGUCGGUUCUUGAAAUUCCUAUGACGAGACAUUUGUCUCCAUUAUACGCGAAAAAAUUGAAACCGGAAUCAUUGUACGAGCGGCGGCAGUGCCUGAACCACCGGUUCGCAAGUCCGCGGCUGCUGCACUUGAGCCCGUGCCGCGGCACGCGCCCCUCCUCGCGGAACUCGCUCACCUCCCGCCUCUCCAGCAGCCACAACUCCCUCAUCACACAGUUCCAGGACGACUCCAGUUUCAUCACCCAAGCCAUCUCCCACGAUACGCUCUCCGCCAACACCUCCGACAUCACUGAUAUGUACAAUGUGCCCUUUGACAGCGACAUCUACGCCGUCCCCGUCGACAUGGUUCGUCCCGGUCAGAGCAAUAUGAGAAAAGGCAAAAAACCACCUAGAACCAAUAAGAAACGCGGCAAAAACGCAUCACAAAAUUUGACAACGAAUCACGUGCAGACGGACAGAAAUCACAAGCCAAAGGAAAUAACGAACCGACAUAAAGAUUCCAAAAAUAAAAGGCACAGCUUGCCAAGUUCGUCUUGUAGGAAGAAUAUAUCUGACUCAGAGGCGGACUCGCUCCACCUGACGUUGCGCGAAAUGCGAAAAUAUUUGCAUACUCUGUACUCUAGCUCGAGCGACUCCGAGUGCCGGAACACGCUGAACAAGAAGAAUAAUAUAACGAACGUGGAGAUACACGUGCGGCCACCGAAAGACGCCAAAUCUAAUAAGGAUAAUGAGAUAUGCAGUGCGUUAGAAACGAAUAAUAAUCAUAAAAAGCCUCAUAAAAACUCUUUUGGUAUGAAUAUUAAGAAUAAGAAACAUAAAGAGGUUCCUAAGGACGAUACGGCCGAUAAGAGUGUUAAGACGCCACGUCAGAGUCAAAAGAAGAUGUCGCCGGUGCGGAUUUUGUCGUUGAACUUGAAGCAGAGUUUUUGUAAUCUGUUUCGUUGGCGGCGGGCGGGCGGGUUGGAGCGGGAGCGGGGGGAGGAGGUGGUCGUGGAGCCGCCGGCGGCGGUGCGUCGUGCGCUGCCGCCGCUACCGUCCGCGCCGCAGUCGUCACGCCGCGAGGGGGACGACGCCGUCAUGGACUUCGCUACCUCCAUACAGAGGGUCAAAGACUAUGGCUGGUAUUGGGGUCCUAUAUCGGUGGAGGCGGCCGAGAAGAUCCUUUCGAACGAACCGGACGGCUCGUUCAUAGUGCGCGACAGUAGCGACGACCAUUACAUAUUCACAUUAACUUUUAAGCUAAACGGAAUGAGACAUGUAAGGAUUGAACAUGAUCAGGGUAAUUUCUGUUUCGGCGGGUGCACAAUGUUCAAAGCGCAGACAAUAGUGGAGUUCAUAGAGAACGCGGUGGAGACGUCGCGCAGCGGCCGCUACCUGUUCUUCCUGAACCUGCGGCCGGUGCUCGGACCCGUGCGCGUGCAGCUGCUCUACCCCGUAUCGCGGUUCAAGCGUGUACAGAGCCUGCAGCACAUGUGCAGGUGUGUGGUGUACGAUAUAAAGCCCAGACAAUAGUGGAGUUCAUAGAGAACGCGGUGGAGACGUCGCGCAGCGGCCGCUACCUGUUCUUCCUGAACCUGCGGCCGGUGCUCGGGCCCGUGCGCGUGCAGCUGCUCUACCCCGUAUCGCGGUUCAAGCGUGUACAGAGCCUGCAGCACAUGUGCAGGUUUGUGAUAUUAAAAUACGUAAGACGGGACCUGAUAAGCAACCUGCCGCUGCCGAGGCGUCUCCUGGACUACCUGAACACCACGCACUACUACUCAGAACUCCUUGCCGAAAUAUAGGACCUGUAUGUUGGUUAGUCCUAUUUGUAAAACGCGCGCUAGCCCGUCGACAUCGAUUGACAACCGACAAAAGGAAACAUUUGUGAUCAUUGACUUGUACUUAGAUUUAAGAUUUUUUAGCGACUGCCACGAUGUUAUUUAUCGAUGUUGGGAUGUGGUAGGUACAAAUGGCGAACGAUUUUAUUCUUUUGGGAAAGUCACAUCCGUAUAUCCAUAGCCAAGCGAUGCAUAUGUAAUCGUUUUGCAUUCCAUUUAUUGAGCUUUCUAAUUGAUAAUAUUUUUUCACGCAAUAUAUAGACAAUCAACACAUUCUGUGCAUGUACCUGAUAAUAUUGCUAUCACUAGUAGACUUGUUUGUUUGUACGGGAUGCUGCGUUCAAACAAAGCCUAAUGAUAGUUAUGAUAGAGGACCUCAACAGGUACAGAUUUGACCUCCAUGUUUAGCGCAAAUUAAUACAUUCGGAGAUAUCAUCGAAAUUUGAUUCCUAACAUUGUAAUCCAUCACAAGUUUUAAUUUAUAUGUGGUUUAUAUGUAAUAGAUUCUGGACUUCUGACCAUUCAUACUUAUUGAAAUAAUCAAGUCCAAGAAAUUUAGAGAUAUAAUAUCCAAUAUUACUACUCUUCACAACUUUUCAUUUAGUCUAGUUUUUUUCAUCACAAAGGACAUAAAAUUGAUAAUUUGUUUGAAACCAUUAAUUUUCGAUGAAAAUACAUGGGGAUAAAUCGAUAGCUAUUAAGGUCCUCUAGCAUUGGUCUCCGUCGGAUCCAUACUGAACACGAAUCCGUGUAUAUAUUUAUCUCUGAAAAUUCAAAUGUUGGUACUUUAUGUACGUUUUGUUAUGUUAUCCCGGUAGAGUUGUGCUAUUCGUGCGAAGUCUGGCCCGUCGUCUUGUCCGUGCAGUUUCCGUGCUCGACUAUAUUGCGUCCGUAUCGUGCGUUUCAUUGUGAACGUGCACAAUAUGUUAAUAAGUAUUGCUUAAUGACGGAAGUUAACGGUUACCGUCUACCGCGCACAUUCGCGUAAACAAUCUGUUAGAUAAGUAGCCUUCUAUUCACUGGAAACUACGUGAUGCCAACAUACGCUUUUACAAGCUCUAGCGACUAAGUUCACGACUGAAGUUUCGCAUAAUAAAGCAAUCUGUUUGUCAUGGUACAAACUCAGUACAUAUUAUAUACAGAGUAGAUACUUAAGUCUUUUAUAUUUUGUGUGGCGAUGUACCUAUUAUGAUAUACCAUAGAUGAUUGUUAGCUGCCAAAAUGUCCCGGGCGUUUGGGACGCGUAUCAUGUUCCAGCAAUACUUAAUGUUAAGUUUUAAAAUGAACGACGCAAAAUGUAGAUGUAUUUAUUGUUAAUCGUAAUGAUCUGGAAAACGUGUCAAUUGGGAAGUUAGUAUAACCGUGGUGUUAAGUACGAUGGCAUGGUUGAUAGGUUUUCUAGAGAUGUGAAGCUAUUUAUUUCCCCUCCGGUUAGUAGGGUUACUGCCUUAAUCGAUAAUACAAUGUUCUAUAGUAACGUCGCCUGUGAACGUAUUACUAAGCUAAUUUAAUUAUUAAUUAUAAUGCAAUAAUAUAUGUUCUAUGAGUCAACUUAAACUUUGUUCUAGUUGUUAUUUAUACAGUUUCGAGUAAUGCGCUUUAAAUCUUAAAGUGCACAGCCUCAUGUUCAAAUUUAUUAAUGGUUGUAUAUAGAAAUCAUUCAAUGUAAUGUUAUUGUAUUAUUAGAUUUUUAAUAUAAAAUGAUUUGACUUGUGGAUAGUGUGUGGUUUGCUCAGCGAGGUGCUCGCCGGACUGACAUCGAAGUAUCGAGUAAUCGUAAUGGAACCAGUUGUGAGAGUCAGUUGUGAACGACUAAAAUUAUAUUUCACGAAGCAUUGAUCAAAAUUUACGCGUCCUACUCAGUGUCAUGAAUCAUGGCCUAUUGAAAGUCUCACUUGUAUAGUCUUACAUUUUGAUACAAUUGUUGCUAUUAUUCGCUCAUUUUCAAGUCUUUCAUUUUAAAAACUGGCACCAAAUUGGAUAUUUGUUAGCUAAAUAUAAAAAGUUAUCGACUAUCAUUUUCUGACAGUAAAAAGACGUAUUGCCAUUAUUGUCGAUUUUGUUAUUAUUGCCAACAUUGUAGGACAGGCAUUGACUAUAUGAUUUUUAACAGUGCUUUGUGCGCAAGGGCCGUAAGAAAAGAAUAACAUCGAUGGUCGUUACAAAUUUCAGAUGCUGAAAGGUUUGUGACAGAUGAUAUUUGGCAAACUGAAUGACGAAUCUAAUUAAAAUA
Molecule: RNA transcript, 5141 nt
Organism: Cydia pomonella (codling moth)
Lineage: Eukaryota; Metazoa; Arthropoda; Insecta; Lepidoptera; Tortricidae
Exons: 6
Source: RefSeq, a predicted model, not a curated record